RNAcentral lists this ribosomal RNA (540 nucleotides) under uncultured bacterium. Its description in RNAcentral is "partial 16S ribosomal RNA". It matches the Rfam family "Bacterial small subunit ribosomal RNA", at positions 354 to 887 of the family's 1533-position model. The record is from RNAcentral.
UGGGGGAAUUUUGGACAAUGGGGGAAACCCUGAUCCAGCCAUCCCGCGUGUGCGAUGAAGGCCUUCGGGUUGUAAAGCACUUUUGGCAGGAAAGAAACGUCGCGGGUUAAUACCCCGCGGAACUGACGGUACCUGCAGAAUAAGCACCGGCUAACUACGUGCCAGCAGCCGCGGUAAUACGUAGGGUGCAAGCGUUAAUCGGAAUUACUGGGCGUAAAGCGUGCGCAGGCGGUUCGGAAAGAAAGAUGUGAAAUCCCAGAGCUUAACUUUGGAACUGCAUUUUUAACUACCGGGCUAGAGUGUGUCAGAGGGAGGUGGAAUUCCGCGUGUAGCAGUGAAAUGCGUAGAUAUGCGGAGGAACACCGAUGGCGAAGGCAGCCUCCUGGGAUAACACUGACGCUCAUGCACGAAAGCGUGGGGAGCAAACAGGAUUAGAUACCCUGGUAGUCCACGCCCUAAACGAUGUCAACUAGCUGUUGGGGUCUUCGGACCUUGGUAGCGCAGCUAACGCGUGAAGUUGACCGCCUGGGGAGUACGGUC